This 301-nucleotide ribosomal RNA is filed under the name uncultured bacterium. RNAcentral describes it as "partial 16S ribosomal RNA". It matches the Rfam family "Bacterial small subunit ribosomal RNA", at positions 509 to 807 of the family's 1533-position model. The record is from RNAcentral.
CAGCCGCCGCGGGAAUACGUAGGUGGCAAGCGUUGUCCGGAAUUAUUGGGCGUAAAGGGCUCGCAGGCGGUUUCUUAAGUCUGAUGUGAAAGCCCCCGGCUCAACCGGGGAGGGUCAUUGGAAACUGGGAAACUUGAGUGCAGAAGAGGAGAGUGGAAUUCCACGUGUAGCGGUGAAAUGCGUAGAGAUGUGGAGGAACACCAGUGGCGAAGGCGACUCUCCGGUCUGUAACUGACGCUGAGGAGCGAAAGCGUGGGGAGCGAACAGGAUUAGAUACCCGGGUAGUCCCUGUCUCUUAUAC